This 467-nucleotide ribosomal RNA is filed under the name uncultured bacterium. RNAcentral describes it as "partial 16S ribosomal RNA". It matches the Rfam family "Bacterial small subunit ribosomal RNA", at positions 28 to 507 of the family's 1533-position model. The record is from RNAcentral.
GACGAACGCUGGCGGCGUGCUUAACACAUGCAAGUCGAACGGAAAGGCCUCUUUCGGGGGGUACUCGAGUGGCGAACGGGUGAGUAACACGUGAGUAACCUGCCCUUGACUUUGGGAUAACUUCAGGAAACUGGGGCUAAUACCGGAUAGGAGCUCCUGCUGCAUGGUGGGGGUUGGAAAGUUUCGGCGGUUGGGGAUGGACUCGCGGCUUAUCAGCUUGUUGGUGGGGUAGUGGCUUACCAAGGCUUUGACGGGUAGCCGGCCUGAGAGGGUGACCGGCCACAUUGGGACUGAGAUACGGCCCAGACUCCUACGGGAGGCAGCAGUGGGGAAUAUUGCACAAUGGGUGGUAGCCUGAUGCAGCAACGCCGUGUGCGGGAUGACGGCCUUCGGGUUGUAAACCGCUUUCGCUCAUGACGAAGCUUUGUGUGACGGUAGUGGGUAAAGAAGCACCGGCUAACUACGUG